This is a long non-coding RNA of Myotis davidii, 3002 nucleotides long. RefSeq lists it as uncharacterized. The transcript has 2 exons. The record is from RefSeq and is a predicted model, not a curated record. Lineage: Eukaryota; Metazoa; Chordata; Mammalia; Chiroptera; Vespertilionidae.
ACCGGAAUCGAACCUGGGACCCUUGAGUCCGCAGGCUGACACUCUGUCCACUGAGCCAAACCGGUUAGGGCUAAAUAUUUUGCUAAGAAAAAUUUUCUACCAUAAGAGGGGGGAAAGGCUCCACUUAUCUGCUGGAGGUGUGAGCAGAACAACAGCGCCACCUGCCACUCACAGCAGGUAUUUUCGUGUCAGUGCUCCGCCAUGAUAACACGAAAGGGCUCGCCCUGGGGAGGAAGGGAGGAGAGGAUGACUGAAGUUGUUUGUAGAACUGUUCUUGCUGAGGUUGGGGCAGUACUUUCUGAAUGUUGCUUUUUGGGGAUCUAGCAAAUAAACCCGUUGUUAAAACUGGAUCAGAGAAUUCUGUUGUCACAUUUUGAAAUACUCGGUUAGACCUGUGUCCUGAGGGCAGAGGUUUCCUCACUGGGAUUGGCAUUGAUGCUUCUCUCCGGAGACAGAUAUAUAAAAUUUCUAAUGGCCAUGGAGGUGCAGCUGGCCUCAUGUGACUUCACCACAGCACCUGGCCCACUUUGCUUCUUCGUGGUACCUGCGUGGGUCCUUAUGGUCCCUUGAGUUUGUGACCCCUGGUGUAACACACCUAAUGCCUUAAUGGGAUUGCUGAGCUUCAGAAUUUGAAUCUUGAGGAUAAUGAUGCAUAUAGGUAUGCUUUUCUGGAAAGUACUAGUUACUCUGAACUCACGGUCUCUUGGACGUACGCUGUGCCUCAGUUUGGAAAGAAGUGUCACACACCUGGUACAGUCUCUUGCACGUAGCCCUCUAUAUUUUUAUUGAGUAAAAUAUGAUCCCUGGUGCCAUGUGUCAGAGAAGUCAUUCGUUUCCUUUAAAAAGUGGGUGACACCAAGAAGGUUGAGAAUGAAGGUAAAAAUUCCAAGUUUUCACAGUAUCCUGGGGAAUGCUGGUCUGAAGACGACCUAUAAUGACUGGCAUCCUGUUCUCAUCUCUUCUCCAAGGCACAAUAUAUUUUGCCUUCAAAGAGCUAAUACUAUCUGGUACAUCUACUCUACCCGUAAUGAUGGCAUCAGUAUAGAAACGCUUUAAAAGCUCAAAGGAAAGGGGCUCGUGCUGUCAGAUUUAGUUCUGGCUCUACCACUAAGCAACCAUGAAGUCAUGAAAUGGAACAAGUUUCUUUCCAAGUCAAUGUUACAUAAUAAAUAUGCAUUUCUAGGUAGAAGUGAUCCUAAGCAUAUUUUUAACACCCUUGGGCAUGAAUAGUAGAGUUCCCCGAUAAAGAACUGUUGCCCUCAAUUUUCAUUGGAAGAACAGAAUAAAUUGCAUUAUGCAUCCAAAGAUUUAAUUGAAAGGUAAUAUAUGACCAUGGUGGCUAUGAGAGAAGCAUAAGGAAUGUGAAAGUCCAUGCGACUUCAAAGAAUAAGCACAGACUAAUCUUCUAAGUUAGUAAAAUGAUUAACUUGUGGCUCCUGUGUGGUCUUGCCACAAACCUGAUUUCACCUCUAACCUCCACCCUAAGGGUAGGAAUUUGCAUUGAGAAGCUCAGUAAAGGGUUAAGGAGCCAGAGUGGUUGUGCCUAAAUGGCCAGCUCAAGAUGCCAAUUUGGGUGCAGUGAACUGGUGUUAGUGAUUUACUCCAUUAAACCGUGCCCCUUUGGGGCAAUGCAAAUUGAGGCAAUAUAACUGAUUCUAGCUUAGUCAUGGUGCAUGGACUGGGUAAAAGGUCAUUACCACCUUCUUGUCAGUGAUUGGUCCAAAAAUGGGCAUGUGACUCGGUUCUUGGGGAGGAGACAAAUACAGGAUUACCAGCAUUUCUAGAAUAAUUCUUUCUCACUAUUGGAAGCCAUUCUUUUUGGUCUUGUAUUGAAUAUGAACAAGAAAACAUGGAAACCUGGAUUGCUGCUGGGAGAGGGAACCAGCCAUGGAAUAAGACAAAAAGUCAAUAGGGUAAAGAGAAAGAAAAAAAUCUGAUAUCACCGAGUCUCCUGCCCACAAACCAUGCUACCUCUUGACUUACAUAAGAUAUUUCUGUAGUGUUUAAGCCUAAUGGAUGUGCAUGGUGAGGUGCCUCCUAAGUGACCUGGAGGGCAGGCAUCUGUUUUCUGCUAGUUUAUUCCCUGCACUGUAGAUCUCAGGCUUCAAAAUGCAUUAAAUCAUAUGAGGAACAUGUUAAAAUCCAGGACCCACCACAACACUGAUUCUAUAGGUGACCAGAAGUUCUUCAUUUGUAACAACCCAGGUGACUGAUGCCGAGGACAGCAGACACCCACUAUCCAUUUCCCAUUCUUUACUAAAAACAGUAGGUUGUGUUAGGGUUGGCAAGGUGAGGUGCCAGUUAAAGUUCAUUUAAUAGGUGUGGGCAUGUGACCGUGCUUCCCUCAGUGGGGUCCCUUCCUGACUAAAAGGCAAGGCCUCCUACAGAGAAAGCUGCUUGUCUGACUGAAACGCCCACCGGAUGCCUGGAGUGACCGAUGAUUUGCCAUCUGAGAAAGUUACUGGCCAAGAAUGGAGGAGAAGGCUGCAAGGAGCCUGGAUCCAUGCUUAUUCCUCAAGCCACAGCACCAGCCCUGUUCUGCCUGCUGCCAGGUAUCUGGUUACAUCAGAAAGAUGAAGCCACAUAGGUUUCUGUAAUGUGCAGCUGCAUCCAUAUCUGCUGACACGAGUGCUCCAUAGCCACUCUGAGAAAUACUGCCCUACAUGCUCGGUGUCCAGAAAGUUCUUCAUAAAUGGUUAUGCUUGACUUUUUCUCUUAUGUUUCUUUCUAUUAUGAUUUUCCCUAGAGUCGAGAUUCUUGCAUUCUUUCAAAGUUUUGUUGAAAUGAAAAAGACAAUGGAAUCUAAUAAGUACAUCAUGAAAAUCAACUUUAUUUGACUUUUAAAAAUAAAAUGAAAAUAGUAUCAAACAGUACAAUGCAAGGUUUGAUCUCUGCUGGUCACUUGAGGACCAGUGUUGACUGAGCCUGUUCAAACACAUGCAUCAAACAAAAAUUAAAUCCGGAGUUUAAGAAUAAAAGUAGCAGAAGAAUAUUUUAAAAUA